RNAcentral lists this small RNA (83 nucleotides) under Salix viminalis (osier). The record is from RNAcentral. Lineage: Eukaryota; Viridiplantae; Streptophyta; Magnoliopsida; Malpighiales; Salicaceae.
UCUUCAGAUGAUGAUUUAUUGUUUCCCUGUGGUCAAAUGUUGCUGGACAACAAAUACUAUCCCAAAACUUGAACUGAUGCAUG